GUGGGGAAUUUUGGACAAUGGGCGCAAGCCUGAUCCAGCAAUGCCGCGUGCAGGAAGAAGGCCUUCGGGUUGUAAACUGCUUUUGUACGGAACGAGACGGUCCGGGUUAAUACCCUGGGCUAAUGACGGUACCGUAAGAAUAAGCACCGGCUAACUACGUGCCAGCAGCCGCGGUAAUACGUAGGGUGCGAGCGUUAAUCGGAAUUACUGGGCGUAAAGCGUGCGCAGGCGGUGCUGUAAGACAGGCGUGAAAUCCCCGGGCUCAACCUGGGAAUUGCGCUUGUGACUGCAGUGCUGGAGUGCGGCAGAGGGGGAUGGAAUUCCACGUGUAGCAGUGAAAUGCGUAGAUAUGCGGAGGAACACCGAUGGCGAAGGCAAUCCCCUGGGCCUGCACUGACGCUCAUGCACGAAAGCGUGGGGAGCAAACAGGAUUAGAUACCCGGGUAGUCC
RNAcentral lists this ribosomal RNA (450 nucleotides) under uncultured bacterium. Its description in RNAcentral is "partial 16S ribosomal RNA". It matches the Rfam family "Bacterial small subunit ribosomal RNA", at positions 354 to 796 of the family's 1533-position model. The record is from RNAcentral.